CUGUUAUUAGGCUACGUGAGUCAGGGUAGCUAGCCUACUUUAUUACACAUCCAAAACAGAGAUAACGUAACUAUCAGCCACUGUGGAGGUGGCGUCACGCAGACAUCUUCACUUUGAAGUAUGCCAUCGAUGCACAGUCAUCUACCCUGCCCUUAGGUUUUUAAUAACAUCAACAACGUACAGCUGGACAUUGGAGCGGACCCUCUGUGGCCAAAAUAGGGACACAUUGGGACCAAACAGCAUCCCUUUGUGAUCAAAGUGGAGGCGUCCCCCUGCCUAUCUCAGUUGCUCAAUUUACUAUUGUUCUCGUUUUGUUUUAUGUUGUCUUGUCUCGUGUUUUGUCUGCUGUCUUAUGUAUUUAAAAAAAUAAUAAUCUUCCACCUACAAAAUAAUCAAAGUGAAUCACUGGGAUAAUUUCACCCAAUCCCUAAUUGACCCAAAGUCUUUAUGCAUCUGAAUUAAUUGGAUAGUUGUAAGCAAUAUCUUCAUAGCUGCACCUUGCCCUCUGAUAAACUCACAGGAAUUGUGUACUCCAAUCCUUACAGAUCUAGGAGGGAGUAGGGGCUAGAGGUUGAUUUGGGAUUGGGCAAGACACAAAUUUGGAUCACUGACAGAAGCACACUGUAUAGCAUAACAUUAGCAUAAGGACUGUCACAUGCUAGCACUAGUGGCUAUGUUGGCACAGCUUGCAGUUGGUUGAGAGAGCAUAUGUGGGUGACUUAAUCAUCACACACAGACAACACACUCACAUACUCAGACACAGGUUCACUGGUGCGUGCACGCAUAGCUGCACACAUGCAUGUAUUCACGUACUGUCUCUCUUUCUCUCACGUACCACACUCUCUCUCUCU
Molecule: long non-coding RNA, 851 nt
Filed under: Salmo salar (Atlantic salmon)
Lineage: Eukaryota; Metazoa; Chordata; Actinopteri; Salmoniformes; Salmonidae
Description: lncRNA (ENSSSAG00000091392.1)
Source: RNAcentral